CCUACGGGAGGCAGCAGUGAGGAAUAUUGGUCAAUGGACGCAAGUCUGAACCAGCCAAGUAGCGUGCAGGAUGACGGCCCUCCGGGUUGUAAACUGCUUUUAGUUGGGAAUAAAGUGAGGCACGUGUGCCUUUUUGUAUGUACUUUAUGAAUAAGGAUCGGCUAACUCCGUGCCAGCAGCCGCGGUAAUACGGAGGAUCCGAGCGUUAUCCGGAUUUAUUGGGUUUAAAGGGAGCGUAGAUGGGUUGUUAAGUCAGUUGUGAAAGUUUGCGGCUCAACCGUAAAAUUGCAAUUGAUACUGGCAGCCUUGAGUACAGUUGAGGUAGGCGGAAUUCGUGGUGUAGCGGUGAAAUGCUUAGAUAUCACGAAGAACUCCGAUUGCGAAGGCAGCUUACUAAACUGCCACUGACAUUGAUGCUCGAAAGUGUGGGUAUCAAACAGGAUUAGAUACCCGAGUAGUC
This 460-nucleotide ribosomal RNA is filed under the name uncultured bacterium. RNAcentral's name for it is "partial 16S ribosomal RNA". It matches the Rfam family "Bacterial small subunit ribosomal RNA", at positions 338 to 795 of the family's 1533-position model. The record is from RNAcentral.